GCGUUAAUCGGAAUUACUGGGCGUAAAGCGCACGCAGGCGGUUGGAUAAGUUAGAUGUGAAAGCCCCGGGCUCAACCUGGGAAUUGCAUUUAAAACUGUCCAGCUAGAGUCUUGUAGAGGGGGGUAGAAUUCCAGGUGUAGCGGUGAAAUGCGUAGAGAUCUGGAGGAAUACCGGUGGCGAAGGCGGCCCCCUGGACAAAGACUGACGCUCAGGUGCGAAAGCGUG
RNAcentral lists this ribosomal RNA (226 nucleotides) under uncultured bacterium. RNAcentral describes it as "partial 16S ribosomal RNA". It matches the Rfam family "Bacterial small subunit ribosomal RNA", at positions 538 to 763 of the family's 1533-position model. The record is from RNAcentral.